This 2259-nucleotide ribosomal RNA is filed under the name Triticum aestivum (bread wheat). RNAcentral's name for it is "partial small subunit ribosomal RNA". Lineage: Eukaryota; Viridiplantae; Streptophyta; Magnoliopsida; Poales; Poaceae. The record is from RNAcentral.
UCUGAUCGGGUGGGAGGUGUCGAGAAGAGGAACAGAGGUGUUGUGUCGAACCGAGAGGCGGCCAAAGACGAGUUCACCUCUCCGGGCAGUCGAGCUAGCCGAGGUCCUAGUACCUGCUGCCGCGUUCUGGCCGCGGGUUGGUGUUCUCUGACGUCCUCCGCCCGCCGCUCGAGCACCUCGACGACACCGUCCUGCCCCGGUAGCAUCGCGUCCGCGUCCGGGUCUGCGGCGUGGCCGCCACGGGGGUCUCGCCGCGCCGGUCGCCGCAGUGGCGCCUCCUACGCAGGCGCACCAACUAGGGCCUGCCGCCGCCGCCGCCGUCCCUGGACAUGAGCGUGGAGACCGUGCCGCAGCGGCUGCCCCUGCGCCCGCGCGAGCACCGCCCCUCGCCGCGGCCCUGCUCGAAGACGCCCUCGUUGCGCCACUGCCGCGGCCGCGACGACGGCAGCGGCCUCCUCCUCGGCCCGAGCAGGAGCCGCCCUCCGGUUCGCGAUGACAGAUUCUCCCCUUCCCUGCUUGACCCAUCGGCGGCGCUCCUACGGCUGCUGACACUCCGGCAGUUACUCUGGGCCGGCGUCGCCGGCCGCCGUUUCGCUUCCUGAGCACGACGGCUCCAGGUAUUGGUUAGUCUCGCCUUUUCUUCCCUAGCCUAGUUGCUUUUCUACUUUCGUAACGUUCUUGAGCAUGGGGUAACGUUGUUCUCGCUGUUCCGCAGGUAGGAUCUGCUUCGUUAGCUCAUGAAUUUCAGAGACGUUGACGUUCAAGUCUAGUACACCUACCGAUGACCCUACCGCGGGUACUACAUGGGACCACGAGUGGUUGAGUACGGCGGCUACCGGUACCCGAACUUGAGUCGCACGUACGGGCGCCGCGUCUCGGAAUCGGUCGACGUUUCUCAUCGUGGCAAAUACUUGGUAGUAGAGGGUUUAGUUUACGGAUCCCAGGUUAGAGGUCGAUACCUAAGGGAGUUACACCCUUUGUUACCACAGACACCACUCGGUUCUUUGGGAAAGGACGUAGGUCCGUUGUGUGAUUGUCGUCGUAGAGUCGACGGACUAUACAAAGGGAUACGUAGAGUUUUCCGUGUUGUUUUGGUCUUAGUAGUCAAUGACGGAUUGUGACUGUACGGUCGAAGUCCUGGGACGAGCGGUAGAAAACGACUGCCUUGACCUUGUAUUCUGGUCCGUCAAAGUUCGUUCUACUAAAUGACUAACCAGUAGAUAGAUAUACUAUUAUAUUCUACGGUUCCUUUGUGUCUGUACAGACGGUGUAGGGGUUGGUUGCCGGUCUUAUUGAGCGUCCUUCGUUAUUUUAUGACCCCCCACCUAUGUCCUCCAGUCUCGUUUUACCAGGAUCUUCUUGUUCUAUACUAUACUAUGGUUCUGCGACACACGACAUUCCGGUCCCCUUCUAGUACGUUGUGACUCGGAAGCACCGUGGUGAUUCGUUGGUUGUGCAUACCCGGGCUCUAGUACGACUAUCGUCUAUGAUAAGAAUAGACCUCUUAUCAGAACUCGUAGUCGAAAGACAAAUACCUUCCUAAACCAGGUACCCUCUACUUGAACCCGAACUGUCCCUGUUGUUUCUACGAAGACGACUAUACGACGUCUAGACCUCUACUGUAACAACCUCGGUCGUAGGCGUGUCCCUAUGUUGAACCCGUCAAGACAAGCCGAAAGGUGGCUACAUUGAGGUGACCACUCUGGAUUAUCCUGACAGGACAACUGGACGCCAGCUGCUAACUCGAUAGCUAUAUUUGUUCCCGUCCGUCCUUGAACACGAAAAGCCUGUGGUAACAUCUAGUCCAAACGUAUACGGAAACUCUUAAGUCUGUUCACCGUGUACUUCUAGUAAGAAGUAACAAGUAGUCCUAACGCUCUAAUAGCCGAAUAAAACACACAGCGGGUGGAAAAGCGGAAUGGGAAUUGGGACCUUUCUAACAUGGUGUACACCACUACGGGACAAUGUUCAAGUAGUCCUGACACUGCCAGUAGUAGGCAAAGCAGUGUCUCAUUAAUCAGAGACUUUAAUAGUUACGUCGACGUAGAAAUAACACGAUUAAUACUAAGUCGAAGUCAGCGGCAGUCAGCUCUGACCCUGAAACGAAACGUAAAUAUGCAGCUCUAAACCGACAGUACGAGUUCAUAAAUACGCAUGACGUCGCUAACUACAUCUACGAACCGUUAAACCUCCUGUCUAUAUGUGUAAGAGACGCAAAACGAGAACAAACGUAUAUAAAAAGACACCUGUCGACGUCUA